UAAAAACAAAUAAGAUACAUAACAAACGAUAUUAUUACUAAAUAUUGAAAGUGUUGCUAAAAUAUUGACGAAAAAUUUCGUUAUUUUUUGACAAGUCGUUGGAAUUUGGCCAUAAUUCGACAAGUCCACCACCAAAAAAAUCCGAAAUUUCCCUUUCUUUUUGCUUCUUCUUCCAGUAAAUCAGCGACCAUCCAAGGCAACCUCCAUCUUUUCCCUUCGUAUUUCCAUUUUUCGGGCAGUAGCUCCGGUGAAGACUCAAAAGCUCUGAUGAAAGAAGAAGAAAAUCACCAUUUCUUUUUUCCUUUUUCCUCUUCGAUCUGUUGUUUGAUUUUUGCAGGUAAUCCAAGCAUGCUUAAGGCUCAUCACAACAACCAGCAAACCAACAGCCAACAAACGAGUCCGAAUUCCGACUCCAUCGAACCAGCACAAGAAAAAAUGAAAUCCUAUUAGCAACAAGAUUGGAACUUCAUAAAUCGAAGCUCCAAUAAUCUUUUCACCUUCAUCAAUGUUGUAGGAGAUGCUUUCCAUUGGAGUUAUUCGAACAAAGUUUGAAUUAUAUUAUUUAUGCAUUACUUUGUAUAUAUUAACGUUAAGCAAAUCUUAGACCGUGUCUUAUAUUACUAUUUUAUUUUAU
Molecule: long non-coding RNA, 634 nt
Organism: Solanum lycopersicum (tomato)
Lineage: Eukaryota; Viridiplantae; Streptophyta; Magnoliopsida; Solanales; Solanaceae
Source: RefSeq, a predicted model, not a curated record